CAGUAAUGAUUCGGUCUAACAUUAGUAUUUAUUAAGUUUUGUUUUACGGUGGCAGGUUUUAAUUGGCACUGGUUUUCACUAGUUUAACUUUGUUUCUUUCAAAUUUAUUCAAAAUCUGUAGUAGUGUUGAAGGUUUCAGCAGCGGUAACUUCAUGGGUAGGCUGUUGUAGGUGACCGAGCACACUUUCGGUUUGUUAGUCGGCCAUAGCAGCAGCAAGUGCAGUCUAAAAACCACAAGUGUGCAAUUGCCCACUGCCCAUUUCUUUGCGGUAGUUUGCUUGCAUUUUUCUCUGAUUUUUCAUCUGGAAUAGUCAAAAACAGUUAAAUAAAAUUUACUGUACUUAAGUGGCACAAGUUGUAGGCACUACAGCCUUCUGAAUGACCUAAGUUCAAGUAAUUUAGUUUGUAAAAUGAAGUGGACCUGUAAAAUUUGCAAAUUUGAAACACCAAGAAAGACAGAUCUGUUAAAGCAUUAUAGACUUAGACAUGGUCAUGGUGGAGAAUCUCUCCCUUGUCUUUAUUGGGAAUGCUAUUGCUCAUUUAAAACAUGCGGCAGCCUGCGAACCCACCUGUCAAGAAGUCACUCCACCUGUGAGACAGUGACAUUGUCCACUGUACUGUCAUUUAAAUGUCCAUGUUGCCCCUUAAACUCAAUGUCCACAGAAAAAGAAUACUUUGAGCAUAUUGGCCGUCAUUUAAAAAAACAGGAAACUGUGUGUUGUGUUUUUGACAACUGUCCUUUCAAAACAAACAUUUAUGGAGCAUUUGCUUCUCAUAGGGGCAGGAAACACACUCCUCACACUGUUGAUGACUUCAAGCCUGAGCUUUUGAAGAGGACAAUUCUGUGGAGGCAAAGAGGGAGGUUGCUAUCCGUGGUUUAAUGGUGUACCUUAGGGAAAAGGAGGAGGAGCUCUUUAAAGAGGAGGAUAGGGACGGGGAUAUUACAGGCGAACUGAUGAAGAUAGUGACAACACGAGGUGGCAUACCUGCAGCCCAUGCAAAGAUCGUCCUGGAGGGAACAGAGGUCCUAACGGAUGUGGAUAUUCCCAGAGCCUGUGCCUUGCUAAUGGGGCUGAUAUACGCACUCAACCUCCGCUAACCAAAAGAACUGAAAAAUACUUUUGAAGUGUUUCAAAAGAUAUUCCUCGAGUUGGAUGAUCUGAAAGCAAGUCCUAAGGUAAUGUUGCUAAAAAAUAAACUGCUGUGCUAAAAAAAGGGAGGAGUUAAAGAAACAUUUAAGCUGUCCUCAAAUUAAAGAGGAAAUGUUUGCACUGUUGUUUGCAAUGUGUUGUUUACUGUAUAAUAGGUGUACUGUUGAGAGUUUAUUAACUACACCUAGUUCAAAGUAAUGUACUUUUAUACCAAAAAACUCAAAUCAGUCUCAAGAGCAUGACUGUCAAAAUUUUCAGUCUGAGACAGUUUUACAGGGCUAUUUUAUGUUGUAAGUUAUCUAAUUUAUUUUAUUAAGACUACAUUUUUGUGUACAGUUAAAAUGUCAAUAUACACUCAGUCCUGUUACUGUAACUGAGAUGCUGACUGAUGUUUGAAUAAACAGUUAAAUCAUAAAACUGGAAUUUCAAUAUGUGAUUUAUUCUGACUUAGAUAAGUUAUUGUACAAAAAAAAUUAAGGUAAUGAUUUGCAUUGACAUUUCUUAGUAGAAUGAAAGGAAAGAAAUAAGCUAGAAUUACUAAAAGGAGUAAUUUUAACACAAUUAAAAUUAAGUUGGUUCAACUUAAAUGGCAAAUCAAGUUGCUUGUACUAAAGUAAUUGAGUUUGUCUAACUAAAGAAGUCUUGUCGCAUGUACUUAAUACUAGCUAAGUUGAAAUAACUUAAAAAUAUCCAUGCAAAUUGUUACAUAAUUUUUUUACGUUGAGCCAGCACAUCAUUUGUUAGAGUGUAUGAUGUUCU
Long non-coding RNA from Acanthopagrus latus (yellowfin seabream), 1910 nucleotides. RefSeq lists it as uncharacterized. The transcript is spliced from 3 exons. Lineage: Eukaryota; Metazoa; Chordata; Actinopteri; Spariformes; Sparidae. The record is from RefSeq and is a predicted model, not a curated record.